GACGAACGCUGGCGGCGUGCUUAACACAUGCAAGUCGAACGGAAAGGCCCUUUCGGGGGUACUCGAGUGGCGAACGGGUGAGUAACACGUGGGUGAUCUGCCCUGCACUUUGGGAUAAGCUUGGGAAACUGGGUCUAAUACCGAAUACACCCUGCUGGUCGCAUGGCCUGGUGGGGGAAAGCUUUUGCGGUGUGGGAUGGGCCCGCGGCCUAUCAGCUUGUUGGUGGGGUGAUGGCCUACCAAGGCGACGACGGGUAGCCGGCCUGAGAGGGUGUCCGGCCACACUGGGACUGAGAUACGGCCCAGACUCCUACGGGAGGCAGCAGUGGGGAAUAUUGCACAAUGGGCGCAAGCCUGAUGCAGCGACGCCGCGUGGGGAUGACGGCCUCGG
Molecule: ribosomal RNA, 391 nt
Filed under: uncultured bacterium
Lineage: Bacteria
Description: bacterial SSU rRNA
Rfam family: Bacterial small subunit ribosomal RNA
Source: RNAcentral